GACGAACGCUGGCGGCGUGCUUAACACAUGCAAGUCGUACGGAAAGGCCCUGCUUUUGUGGGGUGCUCGAGUGGCGAACGGGUGAGUAACACGUGAGUAACCUGCCCUUGACUUUGGGAUAACUUCAGGAAACUGGGGCUAAUACCGGAUAGGAGCUCCUGCUGCAUGGUGGGGGUUGGAAAGUUUCGGCGGUUGGGGAUGGACUCGCGGCUUAUCAGCUUGUUGGUGGGGUAGUGGCUUACCAAGGCUUUGACGGGUAGCCGGCCUGAGAGGGUGACCGGCCACAUUGGGACUGAGAUACGGCCCAGACUCCUACGGGAGGCAGCAGUGGGGAAUAUUGCACAAUGGGCGGAAGCCUGAUGCAGCAACGCCGCGUGCGGGAUGACGGCCUUCGGGUUGUAACCCGCUUUCGCCUGUGACGAAGCGUGAGUGACGGUAAUGGGUAAAGAAGCACCGGCUAACUACGUG
This 468-nucleotide ribosomal RNA is filed under the name uncultured bacterium. RNAcentral describes it as "partial 16S ribosomal RNA". It matches the Rfam family "Bacterial small subunit ribosomal RNA", at positions 28 to 507 of the family's 1533-position model. The record is from RNAcentral.